GAGUUUGAUCAUGGCUCAGAACGAACGCUGGCGGCAGGCUUAACACAUGCAAGUCGAACGAUGUCUUCGGACAUAGUGGCAGACGGGUGAGUAACGCGUGGGAAUCUACCCAGUCCUUCGGGAUAACAGUUGGAAACGACUGCUAAUACCGGAUACGCCCUUUUGGGGAAAGAUUUAUCGGGAUUGGAUGAGCCCGCGUAAGAUUAGCUAGAUGGUGGGGUAACGGCCUACCAUGGCGACGAUCUUUAGCUGGUCUGAGAGGAUGAUCAGCCACACUGGGACUGAGACACGGCCCAGACUCCUACGGGAGGCAGCAGUGGGGAAUAUUGGACAAUGGGGGCAACCCUGAUCCAGCCAUGCCGCGUGAGUGAUGAAGGCCUUAGGGUUGUAAAGCUCUUUCACCGGUGAAGAUAAUGACGGUAACCGGAGAAGAAGCCCCGGCUAACUUCGUGCCAGCCGCCGCGGUAAU
This 469-nucleotide ribosomal RNA is filed under the name uncultured Alphaproteobacteria bacterium. Its description in RNAcentral is "bacterial SSU rRNA". It matches the Rfam family "Bacterial small subunit ribosomal RNA", at positions 9 to 524 of the family's 1533-position model. Lineage: Bacteria; Pseudomonadati; Pseudomonadota; Alphaproteobacteria. The record is from RNAcentral.